CUUCUACAACAUGUCUAAAGUGCGUCUCCCAACCAUACAACUUCAGUACUUUCAUGUUAGUCACUGCCUCCGUAAUGGCCUUGAGCCUUAUGUCUUGUGCUACCAUGAGUUUUGUCAGGUACCUGUGUUGCAGUUUAACCAUUGGAGUAUUUACCACUAUUAUUAGAAUCACUGCUAGUAGGGCUGCAAUUGUCGCUUUGCCUACAGUAUAGUAAAUGACAAGAAGUGCAAGACAUAAUUGCAGACUCGUUGCCCAUAUCCGAUGAAAAAAACAUGGAAAUUCACCAAUUCUAUAAGCAUCUACUGUGACAUAAUUCAGAAUCUGGCCCCCAGAAUGAAUUGCUUUAGCAGCAGUUGAUAGUCUGAGUUGCUUCUGGUAAAUUGCUGCAGAGAGCGUAGAUCUUACUUGGACUCCAAUCAGUCUUGUUUGAAAGUUCCAUUGUCUUUCCGAAAGUGAUUCCAUACCUUUGGCCAAAAAUAAGCCUGCGGCUAGUGCAUAGCCCUCGUAUUUAAAAGACUCCUUGCCUUGAGCAACCUGAAUGAAAGCUUUAAGUAGCAGAGGACCAGAAGCAAGUGCAAUUACCUUGAUCAAUGCAAAAAGACCGGACACUAAGAUCGCUUUAAGCUGCCAGAUAAAUAUAGUUGAUAAAAUUGGAAGAGAGCCAGAGGUUCCUUUUUUUGUCUGUGCUGUCAGUUGCUCCAUAAACUUGGAGUAACACGUCUCUGCACGAUCUUCAUGCUUUAAUUUCGGAAGAUCAAUGUCCUCCAAAACUUUAAUUUUACCCUUCUUCAGUAGCGGGUUCAACCACCAGAAGGACAUUAUACUCAGAAUUCCUGCAUUACUGAAAGGAGUAACAUUUUCAACCUCGUUGAUUUUUAUGUCAUCGCCAGCCUCUUCACCUUGCGAACGUACAGAGGGUGUCUUCUUCAAUUCUUGUUUCCAUUUCUGCAUAUUUAAAAUUCCACAAAAACACGUAAGGAAAAUAUAUAUAAUUGCUCCUGGUCAAGUUAAGAAGAGGGCUGACAGAGGCUUGAAACCCUAAGAUAACACCGCUAGCCACUGAUGCCAACAAUCUGGACUAGGUACUCCCAAGAGUAAGAGAUUGUUUUCAUUAAGACCACGGUUUUUAAAAAAUUAAUCUUUGAAAUGUCAUAAAUUAAGAAAAUUAUCCCACUAAAGAAAACUAUCAUAUUUCUUACACAAGCUUGUACAAGUCAGUAAAUUUCAACUUACAAAUACAAAACCAUGAUUAACAUUCUGAAAAUGCUAGAUACCCAAAAAUUGUUCCGAAAUCUAGUUAGACAAUAUAUGAUUGGUUCCACCACACUAAUAAUAAUAAUAAUAAUAAUGGGAUCUUUAUACGCACAUAAUCUGUCCAAUUAAAAUCAACCAUUUGUCGGUUACAUCAUUUAAGGAAAAAAAAAUUAUGAACAACAUUUGUGAUAAGUAACAUUACUCCUAACAUUCAACCAGGAGCAAAAAACCAUCAUGCAUACAAGAACACUAGCGCCUUCUGUUUUUCAAUAAUGACACACUCACGCACCCGUCUUGUCGUUAUCUGUCUAUGUUAUGAACCCACAAGUGAAUGAGUAAAGAACACACACCUUCUACGAUCGACUUGAAGCAAAUGCAGAUAUCAUAUAGAGGAAGAACGGAAGAUUCUUGAGAGUCGAAGUAUGAUUAAGCAGAUUCUCCAACGACAAGGAUUUAAUAUGUAAUGUAUUAACCAUUACAGUGAAUUAUUACUAUAACUAGAAAAUGGAGAAAAUGCCCCAUAUGCGAAUCAUUACAUGUGAAACGAUUUCAAUUUUAAAACAAACUUAAAAUCGCCAAUAAUGCAAUUUAAUAUGUUGAUGAACGUCUAAUUAUAAUGGUCAUUUCCAUUAUUGGAGCAAUUUAAUCUGAUGUAUGACCUUGCACAGGGCGGAACUAGGGCUGAGCAUUCGGUCGGUUCGGUCCAGAACCGGACCGGACCGAACGGACCGAGAACCGAACUUUGAAAAUUUUCUGGACCGGACCGGACCGAAGUUUGCAUAUGGACCGAACCGGGACCGAACCGAAAUAAUUCGGUCGGUCCGGUCCGGUCCGCCAGAACCGAAUUAAAAAAAAAAUUAAUCUGUAUUUACAAAAAAAAUCAGCAAGCAUGAUAAAAGAGAAAAAAGAUAGUACCACCAAUCCACAUCCACCACAGAUAAUCUAGAGAGCUAACAUUCAAAGCACAACUCCAAAAUAGUCAUAAGUUUAUAAAUUUUAAAAACCACCACAGUAGUCUCAAGUCUGCUAGUUCAAAAAUAAAAUAAAUAGUCUGCUACUACUAGUCUUCAACUCUUCAUCAUUUUGUUUGUCCGCUGAUGCUCUGCUGCUCAUGUUCAUGGAACUAACUCAUGCUGUCAUGCUCGAUUAGGUAUGCGUAUGCUCGAUUAGAUUAGGUAUAGAGAGUCUCGACGGUGAAUAUAGUCUAUAGAUAUUAGAUAGUAUAAUUAUAAUAUGGUAUUUAAAAUAUAAAAUAAAAUUAUUAUUUAUAUUAUAUAUAAAAGUUCGGUCCAUUCGGUCCAGGACCGAAAUUUUUCGAUGGGGACCGGACCGGACCGUAUUUUAUUUCGGUCCGGACCGAAAUACCCGAACGGACCGAAUUUUCAGAAAAUUAGGACCGAACCGGACCGAAAUUAUUCGGUCCGGUCCGGUUUUUCGGUUUCGGUUCGGUUCUGCUCAGCCCUAGGCGGAACCAAGGGGGGGCUAGCCCCAGCGCCAGCCCCGGCUGAGAAAAAAAUUAAUAAGUAAAAUAUAUAUAUAUUCAACUUUUUAGCCCGGGGGCAAAUUUAAAAAUGAUUAUAUAUAUAAAAAAUUAGCUCAAAUUGAAAUUACAUUUCUCUGAAAUGGACUAGGUUUUGUUAACAAAUCAGCUGGAUAAUUUCAUUUAUGAUGUGCAAAAUGAUAAUAGUUUCUCUGAGUUUCAAAAUAUUGCAGAGCUUGCUAUUAAGAUGGUCGGAACACAUAGAAGUACAACUUAUCCUUUGGUUUACCGUCUCACUGGGCUAGCUUUGAUUUUAACUGUCGCAACAACUACUGUUGAAAGAGUGUUUUCUGCAAUGAAAAUACUUAAGACUUAUUUGCGUAACAGGAUGGGGAUGAGUGGUUGAACGAUAGCAUGCUGGUUUACAUCGAGAAGGUCAUAUUUAGAGACAUAAACGACGAAAUUAUCUUACAAGGCUAUCAAAUUAUGCAAAAUCGUAGAGUUCAAUUGUAGUUUAGCCCGGGGUCAAAAUUAAUCCUGGUUCCGCCACUGACCUUGCAGCAGCAUGAGCAUCUAUAGUGAUAGUUAAUUUAAUCUGAUGUGUCUUGAGGUCUGAAGAAAUAUUUCUCUACAGAGUUGGUAAAACAUAUACUACCACGUUCUUUUAAUUUUGGCACAUUCCUAAGACUUUUACAUUAUAAUUAAAAUUAUUAUUUUUAUAAUUUUUUAUUUAAAUUAUAUCAAUCAUAUAAUUUUAUUCCGAAAUUUAUCUUUCCAAAAAUAAUGAGUUUAAUUCUAUGAUUAAACGACUAAAAAAAUACAUGUCAACAAGGAAAGCGACUAUAUUUUAAAUCAACCGAAAUAAUUCACACGAUACGAAAUAUUAUAAUAAUAACAUAAUGUUCUUUUGAAAAGAAAUAUGACACAUUUUUUAUUCUUUAUUAUUCAAUCAACAAUUUUUUUAAUAAGACAACUGAGUGUGUUUGCCCGGAUUUUAUAUUUGAAUUUUAAGCUAUUUUAGACUCUAAACUGUAUGUCUGCGUGAUAAGUAAGAGUUAAAUUUAGAAGUCGGUAGGAUGUACUUUUUUAAUCAUUUUAUAUUAUUUUAAUGUUUUUUAUAAAAAUCAAUUUCAACCCUAGAAUAAACUAUCAAAUUUUUUUAAUAACUCAUAAGUCAUUUAAAAUAUAAAUUAUCCAAACAGACAACCUAAACUAAGCACUUAUCACAAUAAGGAGCUGCAUGGCUUAUUUUAUUUAUAAAUGAAAAAUAAUUUUUAAUUUAUCUAUUUGGAUAUAUUUUUUGAUUUUUACGGCUUAUUGAGUAUAAUAAUUAUUAACAUAAUAACAAAAUAUUAUAAAUUAUUUUUAGAAUGGUCCUUUACAUUUUUCUAAAAUCAAAUUUCAAAAUACAAAUAAGUUAGUCUCGACUUGAUAUGACUUAUAAGCUGGGAGUUGACUUAUAUAUUAUUUACAUAAAUGGAAUGAAAAAUUGUUGAAUGGUUCCCACGGAUAUAAUUCUAAAUUAAUAAUAAAUUUUAAUCAAUAAAAAUAUACUUUAAUGUGUUCAUUAUAAUAAAUAAAAUUAUAUGAUAUCAACCUUUUUCUUUUCUUACAAAAUUGGUAGAAUAAUUACGAAGUUUGUAAUUUAUAAUAAAAUAAUACAAAAACUUACGAAUACACAAUAACGAUUUCAAACUAUAAAAUUCAGAAAAAUAAUAAAGAGAUUUCAUGAUAUUUAUAAUAAAUUACUUAUUACGACUAAUAUAAAUUUUUGUGAUUCAUGAAGUUUCAUAGUAUAUAUUCAUGUACUAAUUGUAUUGUACAAUUAAAACAAAAUCAUAAUAAUUAAAUAAUUAAAAGAUAUAUAAUAUAAUGUAAAAUAAGUAUAAUAUUGUAAUAAUUAAAAAGAGUAACAAAAGUAAAGAUCAAAAUAUUUGAACCAUUCGGACACAGUUUAAAGGCAGGGUGGUUCAGAGGAAAAUUUGUGUAUUUUAAGUUUUUAACUACCGAUUCAACUAGUGUCAUUAGUGAAUAAAAAACAAAUGACUCCUGAGUCAUUCUAAAUUAUACUGUACAAGUCACCCCUAAAUUAUUACUCUCGUCCCUUCCAUUUCUUUACAUUUGUGUCCCACCCAAUUGUUUACAUUUCAAAACUUACCAAAAAUAGUCUAUGGGUCCCGCCACUUCUCCACUUUUCUUUCCAUUUCACACUAUUUUUACUCCACUAUCUUCUUUUUAUACACAAAAAAUCAAUAGGUCCCACUACUUCAUCCAUUUUUCUUUCUCUUUUCUCUCUACUUUAUACAUAAUUCUUAACUUCCGUGUCCAACUCAUUUGAUAAUAAACUAGUUGAGAAACCGCGCGUUGCGGCGGCCUAUAAAAAUUAUAUUAAUGAUUCUUAUAUUAUAAAAAUCUUGAUGUAAUACCAAUACUAAUAUAUAAAAUUGCGAAAUUGGACUAUAAUUCAUGGUGAAAAAUUGAAAAUAAAUUUGUACACGUAAUUAACAAUUUAAAGCAUAAUGAAUCUUAAUUUUAUUUGUUUUUUUUAAAAAUAAUCAUGUUCUUACAUUGUCACCUUCCUCCAAUUUUUUUGGAUUGAUUGUGCAUAAAAACAUCUAACUUAAUUAAAUCUGCGAGAUAGCAGUCUAUAACUACCCUCUUAAAAGUUGCUUGAACGGAGCAAACAGAUAAUGCAUGAAUAAUAUUUUCAUGUAUACAAAGUAAAUCAUAUAAAAAUUAACAACAACAAACAUGUCCGAUGAACAAAACAAAUAUUAUAAAAGAAUAACCAACAAACAUACAUCACUAAUAGUUAAUUUAUUAAUAUCAACCAUCAAUAUCAUGUCAAGACUACAUUCUUUUCUCGUGUUUGGAUUUGUCGACUCCAAUAUAACGGUCUAUAACUACCUUUGCUUGCUACAACUUUUAUUUUUUUAAUACUGUAUAAACAACCUUCACUCAUCGUUGAAGAAGAACGGCACCUCCGAGUUAGAAAUCGAGCAAGAGAACUAUCACCAGAGAGAGGUAGGGUUAUGGUAUUGAGAGAGAGGAGGUUGUGUUUAGAUGAUCUAAAACCCUACAAUCUAUAGGGGUAUUUAUAGGUGCAGAAAGACUUGUGUGCUACUCUUUCCUAUAAUUAAAUAAUUUGAAACAAAAUCAGAUUAAAACUUUCAAGCUAUUAUAUUCCAUAAAUAAUCUGUUUUUCCCAUAAUUAAAUAAUCUGAAACAAAUUCAGAUUAAAACUUUUAAGCUACUAUAUUCCAUAAAUAAUUUAAAACAAAAUUAGAUUUUGAAACGUGCUUCUAAUAUACCCGAAACUAAAGAAGGUAGUUCUAAUUUUUAAUAUUUUUCAUCCAAAAAAUCCAGAAAAUUAGAAAAAUAGAACGGAGCGAUGUGAGAGGCGCCACCUACAUGCCCCUCACUUCUCCUUUAUAUAGGUAAUCGAGCAAUAGAACUAUCACCAGAGAGAGUUAGGGUUGUGGUAUUGAGAAAGAGGAGGUUGUGUUUAGAUGAUCUAAAACCCUACAAUCUAUAGGGGUAUUUAUAGGUGCAGAGAGACUUGUGUGCUACUCUUUCCUAUAAUUAAAUAAUUUGAAACAAAAUCAGAUUAAAACUUUCAAGCUAUUAUAUUCCAUAAAUAAUCUGUUUUUCCCAUAAUUAAAUAAUCUGAAACAAAUUCAGAUUAAAACUUUUAAGCUACUAUAUUCCAUAAAUAAUUUAAAACAAAAUUAGAUUUUGAAACGUGCUUCUAAUAUACCCGAAACUAAAGAAGGUAAUUCUAAUUUUUAAUAUUUUUCAUCCAAAAAAUCCUGAAAAUUAGAAAAAUAGAAUGGAGCGAUGUGAGAGGCGCCACCUACACGCCCCUCGCUUCUCCUUUAUAUAAGUAUAUUGAUCGGAGGGAGGGAGGGAGUAGAAGUUACUACUACUCGUAUAAUUUUAUAAGUCGGCUUAAACGAAUCGAAAAAUAUCAACUUGAUCCCCCUUUGUAUGUUUUAUGAAAAUAAUAUCUUUUACAAUGACGUCAGUCAUGUGACAAAAUUAACCAGCCGAUGCGAUCCAAUUGAACAAUUUAUAAUGUUGGUUGAUGUCGCCUGAAUAAGACCAAUAUUCCUUAGUUAACUUCCUGAACAGCGAACCUUCCCUACUUAACAGUUUAUUAGGCUCAUCGUAUACUCCACCAACUCUCAUGCAUUUUUUUUAAAAAAAUUAUAAACAAAGAACUCUUUGUUCGAGAUAUAAAUUUUAAAUUACUUUGCAUAUAUUGAGUUGAAAUGAACGAAAUUCAUGUCUCAAUCCAUGUAACUUUGUACCGAAGGAGAAAUCAGAAAUUCUCAGGCUCUUUUCGCAGUAGCUUCUUAUGCAAAUUUCUUGUAAUAUCACUAAUUUUAAGGAAAAUAAUAUAUUUAGCAUAAUGUAAUAUAUAUCAAAGUAACGUUUUAUAAAUACAUGGCCAAUAAUGUCAGCAAUACGCUAUUAUAGAAUGAUAAUAACAUAAAUUGUCCUUGCCCGAAUGGAUAUCAAGCUAACCCGAAUUUAAAAGAAAUUCAUCAUCCGAUCGGAUUUUAUGAAAGCGUUUUUAUGAGAAAGGAAAAAACCCUAGCUAAUUGCCCGAGACGAAGUUAUACACUCAAAAGUAAAAUGACAACCCUAAUUAAAGGUUUUAGCAGAGCAAAAAGAAAGAGCAUGGGUAAGCAAAUCCUUGUUUUAUCUUCAGGUGUGCCUAUUGCUCAAUGCUCUGCAUUUGCUUGUGUUGUGUAUGUAUGCAUGCAUGGAAUUUGGUGGCAAUAUACCGGUUGUCUAGAUUGAGUUCGGUUAACAAGAGAAUGGGAACCUCGUGUUGGUGUUUUCACAAGAGGUUUAAGGGUCUGUUUGGGAGUGCUGUUAAAAAUUAUUGUGCUGUCAGAAAAAGUGCUGAUAAAAAAUGUGCUGUUGUAAAAAUCAGAUAACUGUUUGGUAAUUCUUUUUGAUAUUUGUUUAUUUUUAGUUAUAAUAUAAAAUAAUAAUGUUUUUGAUGAGGUUUGAUAAUAAAAUCUAUAACAGCUUUCUACAAAAACUAAAAAGCAGCUUUUUCCAAAAGCAUGGGGACCUGUUUUUUCUAAAAACAACUUUUCAGCUAAAAGUUGUUAUCGGAAAAGUUACUUUUAGAUUUACCAAACAGUUUUGCAGCUGUUUUUCAGCGAAAAGCUAAUCUUGUUAUCGGCAACAGCAACGCCAAAAAGUACUAAAUAAGCAAAUUAUUAUAUGGAAUGGGAAUCUUAUUCCAAUUUUGGGGUAACCAAACCUAAUAGCCUCCAUUCCCAUGCCCCACUUUCCCAUUCCCCCCACAAUCCAAAUGCCCCGUACAGCCGUACUAUAUGUUAUGCAUGCAAGUAUUCUCUGAGCCAUAGCUCUGGUUAUCACUCUACAACCCUGAAAUUCUUUAAAUUGUUUGAUGUUGUUUGUGGGCACCAGAAUAAGACCAGUAUUCCUCAACUAGCUUCCUGAACAGCGAGCCAUCCCGAUUCAACAAUUUAUUGGGCUCAUCAUACUCCACCAUCUCUCCUGCAUUUUCCAAAACAAAAAAUCACUAUAACAAAUAUUUUCAUGACUAACACUUACAUACUGAUGUAUGUGCUUAAAAAGUUACCAUUUCUCAUGGAAAGCACCAUUGUGCAGUCAAUCACAGUUGGUAUUCUGUGAGCCACUGUUAUCACGGUGCAGCCUGCAAAUUCCAUCCUUAUGGUUUUCUGUAUUAUAGUGUCUGUUGCAUUGUCAAUUGAUGCUGUUGCUUCAUCAAGAACUAGGAUCUUCCUCCUCUUUAAUAAUGCCCGUCCCAGGCAAAAUAACUGACAUUGUCCCAGGCUCCAAUUUGAUCCGUCCUCCACAACUGCCAUUCAUCUUUAUGUUAGUAACAAACACAGAGGUAUGUAUAUUCUUUACUUAGCUUUUUACAGAACUGUUUUCUUACCCAAGGAGUUCAGCCCUUCUUCUUUCUCUUGAACAGCCUCUCGGAGGUGACAUUUCUCAAGAACCUUCCUCGCAUUACAUAGUUACACACAAAGUAGUGUCAUUUUUUUUAUAGGAAAUGAAAACAAAGAUUGGACUCCGAAUGAGCAACUGGAUAAUAGUUUACCUGCCAAAUUUCACUAUCAGUAUGCUCAAAGAGGGGGUCUAUGUUAUAUCUGACGGAACCACUGAAAAGUGUUGGAUCUUGUGGGAUGAUGCUAAGCUGUGUUCUGAGGUCAUGAAGCCCAAUUUUAGAGAUAUCUAUGUCAUCUAUUAUUAUCUUUCCAGCCGUAGGUUCUACAAGGCGAAACAAGGCACUUAUCAAAGUUGUCUUCCCACUACCAGUCCUGCCAACAAUUCCAAUUCUAUGUCCUCCUUCAAAGAUGCAACUGAUUCCACGCAAAACUAGAGGCGCAUUUUGUCGGUAUUUUACCUGCUUAAUUCAGACUUUUCAUUAUGUACCAGUAUCUACAAACAUAAAUUUAUGAACAAAAUAAACCACAAAAGAGACACUGAUACCUUUAGAUUGUUGAUUUCUACUCUCCCAGAAACUGGCCAGUUAAGUGGAGGACGGUUAUCUUCUAGUUUUUCGGGGGCCUCACUAGGAAUGUGCAUGCACUGUUCUAGCCUCUCCACGGAAAUGAUGAAAUUUGACAGCAUGCAGUGCAUAUUUAUAGCAUAUACAAGGAAUUCAUUCAUUGAAAGGGCGUAUGAUAGAGCCAUCCCGACAUAUCCUGUAAUUUAUAAGUAAGUGAUAGACGCACUUAGCUCUGUUUUAGUCCUCGGAUGACAAUAAAACUGAACAAGACACUUUCAAGCUCACAAAUGGAGCUGCACCAACAUGAAAAAAAAUUUGUGCAAUAUAAAAGAAGAUACCUAACCUGAUUUAGAAGCUCCAAGAGGCAUCAAAGUCAUGCCAAGUGCAGAGAAUGAGACGAUAACUGCACAUAAUCCUUCCAGAUGUAGUAUCAACCACUCAUUUGCUGAAAAACUGUGGAAGUAUGGAAUUGAGUUUGCAUCAAUAAGACGGAAGUUUUCAGAAAUAAACCUAUUUUCUUCUUUAAAGGCUCUGAUGGUCACCGCUCCAGCAAUUGACUCGGCAAGCUGGCUUGCAACUGAAGACUUUGUCGUGCCAUUAAUACGCAUCAACUCAUUAGCCGAAGCUAAGUAGAAUUUCUGCAAGUUCAGUUACAAGAAUCUUGAGUUCUUUCUAAAAGAGUAUUUUACAUUUCUUAGCAGUGUUGUAAAAUUACCUGUAAAACUAUGGUAAUAUAAACUGUGGGAAUGAUGAGAAAUAAGAUAGGCCAGGUGAGUACAGCCAAUAUUCCAAAGCUGAGACACGUGUUCAAUGCUGAUCCGAUUGCAGUUGCAAAUUUUAUUGCCACUUCAAGGUCUAUGAUACUCAGAUCAGAAGAUAACUAUUGAAAGUAUUAAAUAUGUAAGUCAUAUGAUGAUCGUAUUAUCACGACUGUAAUGUAAAUUUGGCUAAUUUAGAUAUCCUUACCCGGCUCAGUAUCCUUCCAACAGGUGUCGAAUCAAAGUAGGACAUAGGUGCUCGAAAGAUUGACACUACUGCCUUGGAAAAAAUAGAUUCCGACGCCUUAGUACUUAAUUCAACUACUACAUAAGAUCUUAUAAGUAGGCACACUGACAUUACACACCCAAUCCCAGUGUAUACUGCAUUUAGUAUGACAAUGCUUAUAGCGGGAUUUUGAAGUUCAGCAGCCAACCAAACACCUUGACCUAAUUGACCAACUAUGAAUAACAUAUGGAAUAUGACUGAUAGUGAAAGGUAUAAGAAUCCCUGGUUUUGCUUUAAGUAUUGUUUGUAAGGUUUUAGACCGCGGUCUCCGGUCUCUUUCUGCUCUUUUUCAAUCAACUGGUCUCCCAGCCCUUUGUGAAGCUCUUCUUCAACAUCAAUUUCUUGUAUCUCUUGGUUGGAAACUGUAGGACUUUGUGGAGAACUAUAACUCAUUCGUCCUUCCGGAUUGGUAGCAUCACUUUUCACAAUCAAAAGAUUUUGAAAAUCUGGACUAUGAACUAACUGCUGGUACUUAUCAGCUUGCAGGAUUUUCCCUUCAGACAUUAGCUGCCAAAAACAAUUGCUUCUUAUUUUCUGAAUAUGUAUCACUAUUAAAUGGAUUCGAAAAAUGAAAGACAUUAAUAAUCCCUCAUUCUUCUCUACUGUAAAAGGGAAAACAAUAUCUCAUGUUUUGAUUAAAAUUACUAACCAGAAUAAUAUCAAAAACAGGGAGGAAGUCAACUUGGUGGGUGACAAGCAUAACCGUUUUUUCUGAUAAUGCUCCCAUGACAUACUCCUGCAAAAAUCAAAAUUUGUCCAUAAAACAAAGGAAAAUCUUUGAAAUGGAACUGAAAUUAGCUUAAAACAUAGGUCACAUUAAAUAAGCUGGUUGCAGUAUGUGCAUCCACAGCGCUAAAUGGAUCAUCAAGAAGGUAUAUAUCUGCAUCUUGAUAUAGUGCACGAGCAAGUUGAACCCGCUGUUUCUGCCCACCGCUGAGGUUAACACCUCUUUCCCCUAUUACUGUCUGAUCACCACAUGGAAGAAUUUGCAGGUCCUGUACAAGUGAACAUCUUUUUAGUACUUUAUGGUACUUUUCUUGAUCCAUAGAUGACCCGAAGAGUAUAUUCUCUUGUAUAGUGCCUGUUUGGAUCCAUGCUGUCUGAGCAACAUAAGCUACCUUUCCAUCCACCUGGACCUAUAAAAUUCAGAAGUACUCAUUUCAGUUGAACCGGUGAGAAAACACAUUGCAAAGCUGCAUGUUUAUAAAUUGAGAUUUAUAUGUUAGUCAAAUUCUGCAGGAACAUCUUUGAGAAUGUGUGUUACUUCUGAUUUAUAUUAUAAUUUUAAUAUUUAGGAGGAGAAAUCAUUUGUGACUCACCGUGCCCUUAGUGCAUGAAACUUCUCCAAGAAUUGCAGCUAAAAGGGUUGAUUUACCUGAGCCAACUUCUCCGCAAAUUGCAACCUUCUCGCCAGAUUGUAUAUUCAAAUUUAUAUUCUCCAGAGUGAGCUUUGAGGAAUUGAUAUCCCAUGAUAAACUUGCUUCUUUAAUUAAUAUAGACUGUGCAAUUACCUUGCAAUGACCUUCACUUCUUUUUUGCAAUUCAGAUUCCUCAAGGAACUGCUGGAUACGAGUUAAUGCAACCUUUGCUUCAAUGAAACUUCCUACAACAUCAGGUAAAAGCCUAAUAUGCUCUUGGACAAUACGGAUUGUUGCAAGAAAUGUAAACACGUUGCUAGUAUCUAGAGGAACUCCCAUCAGAUAGCAUGCCCAGAAAGUUACUACUGUAAUUACGAGAGGGGAUGACCAAAAGAGUGCUAGGUAAUAGCCUCUUUGUGUCAGAAUUGCGGACAACCACCUUUCUUCUUCUUUCCUCAAUCCUUCUACAACAUGUCUAAAGUGGGUCUCCCAACCAUACAACUUCAGUACUUUCAUGUUUGUCACUGCCUCCGUGAUGGCCUUGAGCCUUAUGUCUUGUGUUACCAUGAGUUUUGUCAGGUACCUGUGUUGCAAUUUAACCAUUGGAGAAUUUCCGACUAUUAUUAAAAUCACUGCUAGUAGAGCUGCAAUUGUCGCUUUGCCUACAGUAUAGUAAAUGACAAGAAGAGCAAGACAUAAUU
RNAcentral lists this long non-coding RNA (12361 nucleotides) under Daucus carota (carrot). RNAcentral describes it as "long non-coding RNA (DCAR_LNC001615)". The record is from RNAcentral. Lineage: Eukaryota; Viridiplantae; Streptophyta; Magnoliopsida; Apiales; Apiaceae.